GAUGAACGCUGGCGGUGUGCCUAAUACAUGCAAGUCGAGCGAACAGACGAGGAGCUUACUCCUCUGACGUUAGCGGCGGACGGGUGAGUAACACGUGGAUAACCUACCUAUAAGACUGGGAUAACUUCGGGAAACCGGAGCUAAUACCGGAUAACAUGUUGAACCGCAUGGUUCAACAGUGAAAGACGGUCUUGCUGUCACUUAUAGAUGGAUCCGCGUCGCAUUAGCUAGUUGGUAAGGUAACGGCUUACCAAGGCAACGAUGCAUAGCCGACCUGAGAGGGUGAUCGGCCACACUGGAACUGAGACACGGUCCAGACUCCUACGGGAGGCAGCAGUAGGGAAUCUUCCGCAAUGGGCGAAAGCCUGACGGAGCAACGCCGCGUGAGUGAAGAAGGUCUUCGGAUCGUAAAACUCUGUUAUUAGGGAAGAACAAAUGUGUAAGUAACUAUGCACGUCUUGACGGUACCUAAUCAGAAAGCCACGGCUAACUACGUG
Molecule: ribosomal RNA, 497 nt
Filed under: uncultured bacterium
Lineage: Bacteria
Description: partial 16S ribosomal RNA
Rfam family: Bacterial small subunit ribosomal RNA
Source: RNAcentral